UAGAAUAUUAAUCAAGCGGCAGAUCAGAUCAGAUAAUGUGUAAACUGAUAAAAAAGCAGUAUAAAAUAGGUGUGAUGCAAAAUAAUAUAUAUCUAUUAACAAGAACUCGAGCUACCAAGUGACAGUUUUGUAAAGAGCAGUCGACAAUUUUUUAUUGGCAUAUUUCAUCAAAAUAAACAAUGCAGCGUCCAAUUCAGAAUCCCAUGAUGACUUGCGGAGUACCAAGUGUUCCUUACAAUGUUAUGCCCACGCCUCAAGGACAGCGACGUAUCAGUAUGGGCCCUUGUUUUAACCCAGCGCCGUCCACCUUUCAGCCCAACUCUUGCUUCAUGAGUGCGUCGGCUCUGAGGAAGACCUCGUUACCCUCUAUGAUGCCGCCACGAACGAGAUACGAUCCAUGCUUUAGAGAAAUGUAAAAAUGUAUAUGAUUUAUACGAAUCUCGAUCCUUCUGGAAUAUUUAUUGCAAAUGGAAAAGUGUUGAUAAUAGGAUAUCAGUAAAUUUUCUUCUUAUCUGACACUGAUUAUGUUUGAAAAGUGAUGCGUUAUUGAUGAACGAAUAUUUUUUACAAAGGAGAUAAUAGUUUCCUUUAUGGCAUAUUAAUUUUAAUUAAACUUAUUAUUUAUUAAAAUAAACUAAGAUUAUAAUUAA
Molecule: long non-coding RNA, 650 nt
Organism: Danaus plexippus (monarch butterfly)
Lineage: Eukaryota; Metazoa; Arthropoda; Insecta; Lepidoptera; Nymphalidae
Exons: 2
Source: RefSeq, a predicted model, not a curated record